CCAAAGGGGGAAUGCCCCCAGUACGGCGAGUGAAGCGGCAAAAGCUCAAUUUUGAAAUCCCCCCGGGGAGUUGUAAUUUGAAGACUAGGGGAUUUGGCCCAAACCUGCGCAAGUCCAUUGGAACAUGGCGCCCAAGAGGGUGAGAGCCCCGUCGCGCAGGCCGCAGCCUUGACAUCCCCCCGUCAAAGAGUCGAGUUGUUUGGGAAUGCAGCUCAAAGUGGGUGGUAAAUUCCAUCUAAAGCUAAAUAUUGGCGAGAGACCGAUAGCGAACAAGUACAGUGAUGGAAAGAUGAAAAGCACUUUGAAAAGAGAGUGAAACAGUACGUGAAAUUGUUGAAAGGGAAGGGCUUGCAAGCAGACACGAGUUCGCUCGGGCCAGCAUCAAUUUCGCGAGGUGGACAACACGCCAGGAAUGUGGCAGGCUCCGGCCUGUGUUAUAGCCUGCGCGCCAUACACCUCCGCGAGAUUGAGGCCUGCUCCAAAAGGAUGCUGGCGUAAUGGUUGCAAGUCGCCCGUCUGAAAACAACACCGCAAAAAAA
This 539-nucleotide ribosomal RNA is filed under the name Helenozyma melibiosica. RNAcentral describes it as "eukaryotic LSU rRNA". It matches the Rfam family "Eukaryotic large subunit ribosomal RNA", at positions 65 to 664 of the family's 3401-position model. The record is from RNAcentral. Lineage: Eukaryota; Fungi; Ascomycota; Pichiomycetes; Serinales; Metschnikowiaceae.